This 1586-nucleotide long non-coding RNA is filed under the name Homo sapiens (human). Its description in RNAcentral is "novel transcript". Lineage: Eukaryota; Metazoa; Chordata; Mammalia; Primates; Hominidae. The record is from RNAcentral.
AGCUGUUUCCGUUCCUCUGCCCGCCAUGCCGUUCCUGGAGCUGGACACGAAUUUGCCCGCCAACCGAGUGCCCGCGGGGCUGGAGAAACGACUCUGCGCCGCCGCUGCCUCCAUCCUGGGCAAACCUGCGGACCGCGUGAACGUGACGGUACGGCCGGGCCUGGCCAUGGCGCUGAGCGGGUCCACCGAGCCCUGCGCGCAGCUGUCCAUCUCCUCCAUCGGCGUAGUGGGCACCGCCGAGGACAACCGCAGCCACAGCGCCCACUUCUUUGAGUUUCUCACCAAGGAGCUAGCCCUGGGCCAGGACCGGAUCUCACUCUGUUGCCCUGGCUGGAGUGCAGUAGCAUGAUCAUGGCUCACCGCAGUCUCGACUUUCCUGGGCUCAGCCCCAUUGCUCUUCUGGAAGGAGAGCUCGCUGUCCAGUACUGCGCGGGAUGACCGAGUGAACAGGGGACUGGAGACGAGAUGUGGCUGGAGACUGAGAGAAGCAGAGGAGUCACACUCCACUCACCUCCACCUCCCAAAGUGCCGGGAUCACAGGCUUGUGCCACUGCGCCCAAACAUAACUGAAGGUUUUACAGACAUGUCUGUGGCACCACAGAACACGAACGGUCCCAAUGGAAACCCCACGCCCAAUUUCCUCAGGGAACUGCUGUGGCGGAGGCUUGGUGGGUGUCUGAGGGGAGCAGAACCCAAGGCGUGGGGUUCGGGGGUGGACGGGGCGGUAUGACCAAGAACUCUGCACCUCCCCCACCCACCCGCCUGAAAACUCUCCUGAAGUCACCUAACAAAGUGGAUGGCAGUGAGUGGCUCUGGGUGGGAUCUUUCUGUCCUCUGGCUACCCUCUGCCCAACAAGAAGGCUGGGGAAGGUGGGGCUGAGAGAAAGGUCUAGGCCUAGAAGACCUCGGACUCCUCCCAACUCCAACUCCUCCUCCCCCUCUUCCGUGGUCGGCUCACCUCCAGCACCCCACGUGGUGGCCCUAGGUACAACGGAUUCCGGCGGGCAGAGCGCCUUAGAUCCCGAGUCUGCAGCCCAGGGCAGAGUGCCAACUUCUCCUCAUCCCUUCGUACGCCAUAGAAUGGAAAGACACUGGGGCUCCUCUGUUAGGAGCGUAGGAGGGACAGGCUGGACAAAAGGGCUCCCGAACAGCAGGUUCGGAGGAGAGCAACCCGGCCCUGACCCCCGCCCCCAACACCGUUCCCGACCUCGCUCCCCAAUAUCCCGGCUCUGCACCAAUUCCUCCCGCAAGCCAAGGAACCCCGAGGCACUCCUAGUCUCUAAACCGUUUAUUUCUCCCCACCAGAAGGUUGGGGUGGGCGGGCCUAGAACACAGCGUGCGGCGGGUUCCCGGGUGGAGCCAGCGCAGACAGCGUGGGUCCCUGCGGCUCUUAGGCGAAGGUGGAGUUGUUCCAGCCCACAUUGGCCGCGUUCAUGUCGUAAUAGUUGAUGUAGACCCUGCGGGGGGAGGAGGCCGGACUCAGCGGGUGGCUCAGUCCCGGGCCUGGCCGCGCGCCGCCGCCCCUCCCCCGCCCCUCCGCGACUCCGCGUACCUGUCCGGGCUGAUGCGCAGGCGCUCGGCCAGCA